This 485-nucleotide ribosomal RNA is filed under the name uncultured bacterium. Its description in RNAcentral is "bacterial SSU rRNA". It matches the Rfam family "Bacterial small subunit ribosomal RNA", at positions 8 to 522 of the family's 1533-position model. The record is from RNAcentral.
AGAGUUUGAUCCUGGCUCAGAACGAACGCUGGCGGCGUGCCUAACACAUGCAAGUCGAACGAGGUAGCAAUACCUAGUGGCGGACGGGUGAGUAAUACAUGGGCAACCUGCCCUUUAGUGGGGGAUACCCAGCCGAAAGGUUGGCUAAUACCGCAUACCCUGUGGAGCUGAAAUGCUUUUCAGGAAAGAUUUAUCGCUAAAGGAUGGGCCCAUGGUGGAUUAGCUAGUUGGUGAGGUAACGGCUCACCAAGGCGACGAUCCAUAGCUGGUCUGAGAGGAUGAUCAGCCACACUGGGACUGAGACACGGCCCAGACUCCUACGGGAGGCAGCAGUGGGGAAUUUUCCGCAAUGGGCGAAAGCCUGACGGAGCGACGCCGCGUGGAGGAUGAAGGAUUUCGGUCUGUAAACUCCUGUCAGGGGGGACGAAACCAUGACGGUACCCCCAAAGGAAGCAUCGGCUAACUACGUGCCAGCAGCCGCGGUA